CUGAUUCAAAAUAGGGGAGGGUUGUUAAGAACACCUUCCUAAUAUUGAGUUGCACAGCCUCAAUUCGUCAGAUCAUGGACUCCAGAAGAUGUUGAAAGCGUUCCACAGGGAUGUUGGCCCAUGUUGUCUCCAAUGAUUCCCACAGUUGUGUCAAGUUGGCUGGAUGUCCUUUGGGUGGUGGACCAUUCUUGAGACACAAGGGAAAGCUGGAAUGGCGCUGGAAGGGAUGGCUGACGUUUUACGGGCUCCUUAACAAUUGUGCUAUUUUAUUUUUUAUUUUUUUGCCUUGUUUAGUAACUUAUUUUGUACAUGUUUCUGCCACCGUCUCUUAUAAUUGAAAAUGGCUUCUGGAUAUCAGAACAGCGAUUACUCACCUCGAGCUGGACAAAGAUUUUUUCUUUAACGAGUUGAACAUGAAGGAUUUCAAUGCUGCUCCCAGACCAGGCCUAAAUCCCCAUAAUUCUCGAGAAGACUCCGAUACAGGGUACGCAGAUCCGGGUGCCUUGUGAGAAUUCGUUGACGAGAGUGUAACCCGCCUCUACCGUCCGUCCUAUUGGCCAACAUGCAAUCAUUGGAGAAUAAACUGGAAGACCUCCGUUCGAGACUCUCCUACCAACUGGACAUUAACUGUAAUAUUUUAUGUUUCACCGAUUCUUGGCUGAAUGAUGACGUGGCUGAGUUUUCCGUGCUUCGGCAAGACAGAACAGCUACCUCCGGUAAGACGAGGAGUGGGGGUCUAUUUAUAUUUGUAAAAAUUAGCUGGUGCACAAAAUCUAAUAUUAAAGAAGUAUUGUGGUUUUGCUCGCCUGAGGUAGAGUACUUCAUGAUAAGCUGUAGACCACACUAUUUACCAAGCGCUUUCCUCUAUUUUUCGUAGCUGUUUAUUUACCGCCACAAACUGAUGCUGGCACUAAAGACUGCACUCUAGGAACUAUAUAAGGCCAUAAGGAAAAGGCUGAUCCAGAGGCGGCGCUGCUAGUGGCCGGGAACUUUAAUGCAGGAUAACUUAAAUCUGUUUUACCUCAUUUCUACCAGCAUAUCUCAUGUGCAACCAGAGGGAAAUAACUCUAGAACACUUUUACUCCACACACAGAUGUGUACAAAGCUCUCCCUCGCCCUCCAUUUGUCAAAUCUGACCAUAAUUCUAUCCUCCUGAUUCCUGCUUACAUUCAAAAACUAAAGUAGUCAGAUGAGGCAGGUGCUAAUCUACAUGACUAUUUUGUUAG
Long non-coding RNA from Oncorhynchus tshawytscha (Chinook salmon), 1226 nucleotides. Lineage: Eukaryota; Metazoa; Chordata; Actinopteri; Salmoniformes; Salmonidae. The record is from Ensembl.